GCGGGUGUAGUUCAGUGGUAGAACGUCAGCUUCCCAAGCUGAAUGUCGUGGGUUCGAGUCCCAUUACCCGCU
This 72-nucleotide transfer RNA is filed under the name Chlorogloeopsis sp. RNAcentral's name for it is "tRNA-Gly". It matches the Rfam family "tRNA". From Rfam's summary of the family: Transfer RNA (tRNA) molecules are approximately 80 nucleotides in length. Their secondary structure includes four short double-helical elements and three loops (D, anti-codon, and T loops). Lineage: Bacteria; Bacillati; Cyanobacteriota; Cyanophyceae; Nostocales; Chlorogloeopsidaceae. The record is from RNAcentral. RNAcentral also lists the same sequence under 2 other names.